This 194-nucleotide ribosomal RNA is filed under the name uncultured Lactobacillus sp. RNAcentral's name for it is "partial 16S ribosomal RNA". It matches the Rfam family "Bacterial small subunit ribosomal RNA", at positions 338 to 524 of the family's 1533-position model. The record is from RNAcentral. Lineage: Bacteria; Bacillati; Bacillota; Bacilli; Lactobacillales; Lactobacillaceae.
CCUACGGGAGGCAGCAGUAGGGAAUCUUCCACAAUGGACGCAAGUCUGAUGGAGCAGCGCCGCGUGAGUGAAGAAGGCUUUCGGGUCGUAAAACUCUGUUGUUGGAGAAGAAUGGUCGGCAGAGUAACUGUUGUCGGCGUGACGGUAUCCAACCAGAAAGCCACGGCUAACUACGUGCCAGCAGCCGCGGUAAU